CCUGCCUCGUGUUUGAGCUGUGGAUUCCAAAGGAUGUUUGUGCACUACCCUUUCUGAGUCAUACCUUUGCUCCUGGCUCUGGAAUUCCAUUUUAGCUGUUCCGCUGCAUCCGCAGCGUCAGGGAAAUGGUUUGGAGGUGGAGUCGCGAGCCGCGACUCAGACUCGAUUUCAAUCAUGACGACUAAAUGGAUUUCGGAAUGAAAACUGCGAUUCCGAUUCUGUGCCAGUUUUCCAAAUACGUGUGCUUCUUGAACAUGCCAGAACACCCGGCAUUUUCCUAACCCCUUAGAACUAUGUGGACAUAGAGAGGUUAUGACUCCUUGUCGUGGAGGCAAAUCAAGAGUCUGAUACUCACUUUUGGAACUGAAUAUCCCAUGAACAGAAACACAUGCAGUUUUGGAUGCUAAAACAUCCUAAUGACGUUCCUGCGAUGAAAAAUAGUCAUGAAAAGUCAUAAGUCAGCCAAAAUCUCUUUCCUAUGAUAGCUUGGUUGGAAGACACGUGUCUUUGCUCCCCAGUCUUGAUGCUAGAAUCACGG
This 538-nucleotide small RNA is filed under the name Histoplasma ohiense. RNAcentral's name for it is "hypothetical lncRNA". Lineage: Eukaryota; Fungi; Ascomycota; Eurotiomycetes; Onygenales; Ajellomycetaceae. The record is from RNAcentral.